AUUGAACCGGCAACUUUCUGGUCACAGGGCCAGUUCCCUAACCUCCAGCCCAUGACUGCCCCCAAAUCAUGCCCCCAUGACUGUGGUUUUUUGCAGGGACUCUUAUUGUGAAGGGCGGGGCUACUGAAGGCUAGUGAGCGUGAGAGAGCCAACAACAGGACCAAUGAGCUAGGCUGAGGGUGACCUUCUCCUCCUGUGUUCUGUUUGCUGUACCAGUUCUAAAUGAAGCCACAUUGUGGACUUUGAGCUGUCCAUGGACAGGUAGAUGAGACAAGAGGUCGGUUCAAGGCUUCGGUGGAGCGUCAGUCUGACCCUACCUCACCUUUCGGGUCCUAAGGUCCUAACUGGAAGUGUGGAGAUGCUAGUCGUCAUUUAGGGGUAUGGGAAAUCUUCACUUUGGGGAUCACCACUGCAGCCUUCAAGCCAACAGAUAAAGGAGGAGGAAAUCUACAAGAACAGAAUUAAAGAACUGAAACUGUCCCUCGUGUGCGAGGUGAAGGGUCAGUGUCUUUACAGCACAGAAUCAGGCACCAGCAGACGGUCACCGGAUUCUUGUUUUCCGUUCAACGGCAGCAGAUGUUUGCAGCAUCGGACGUCUAAAAAAGCCGGAAAACUUUGCGGAUCUCAGAUCCCACCUUCGUCGCCAGAACACAAGUAUAUUCCUUCUUCACAAGCAUUCAGAAAUACUGUAAAUAGGUUCAGUUUCAUUAAAGAAAGGCCCGACUUGUCUUGCUGAGUCAGAAAUGUGGCCCUCAGCUGCAUAUUCAGAAAAAAAGGACACACAUAAAUGGGACGGUUUUAAGAAUC
Pygocentrus nattereri (red-bellied piranha) is the source of this 807-nucleotide long non-coding RNA. NCBI's taxonomy places the organism in Eukaryota, Metazoa, Chordata, Actinopteri, Characiformes, Serrasalmidae. The record is from Ensembl.